Molecule: RNA transcript, 2352 nt
Organism: Dioscorea cayenensis subsp. rotundata (Guinea yam)
Lineage: Eukaryota; Viridiplantae; Streptophyta; Magnoliopsida; Dioscoreales; Dioscoreaceae
Gene name: probable phytol kinase 1, chloroplastic
Exons: 8
Source: RefSeq, a predicted model, not a curated record
GCCAUUCACAGUAGUAUUACUUCCGAGCUCGACGCCGGCGAUGGCCACCACGCCGGUGGUGAAGAUCGCCGCCUCUCCAUCGAUCCUCACCUUGAGGUUUCCCCGGAAACCUCUUCUCAUCCCUUCCGACACCGGCGUCUUCAGAAGACCUUCAUCGUUGCGGCUACGUCGCAUCCGAUCCACCGCCGUCGCUUCUUGGCUUCAGGAUUCCGGCGCCACCGUCGCCGUUUUGUCCGGAGCUUACUCCCUCGUCCUCUCCUUUGAUUUCCUCACCAAGAUGAAUCUCAUCGAACAGAACUUGAGCAGAAAGCUUGUUCAUGUUUUGUCAGGGGUUCUCUUUAUGUCUUCCUGGCCAAUUUUCAGCUCCACAACAGAGGCACGCUAUUUCGCUGCUAUAGUUCCUUUCAUCAAUUGCUUAAGACUAGUCAGCUAUGGUCUAGGCCUUUUUACUAAUGAAGAUCUAAUAAAAUCAGUUACACGAGAAGGAAAACCCGAAGAAUUGCUUCAAGGACCUUUGUGCUACGUUCUGGUUCUGCUAGUCUGUACAUUGUUCUUUUGGCAUCAAUCUCCAAUUGGCAUUGUGUCCAUUGCAAUGAUGAGUGGUGGCGAUGGAUUUGCUGAUAUUGUUGGAAGAAGGUUUGGAACACUAAAACUUCCAUACAACAAACGAAAAAGCUGGAUCGGUAGCAUUUCCAUGUUUACAUUUGGGUUUCUUUUCUCCAUCGGAAUGCUCUACUACUUCUCAAUCUUCGGGUAUCUCCAUUUGGAAUGGAUGCCAGUGAUAAAAAAAGUAGCUAUUAUUUCGUUUGCCGCUACCAUGGUGGAGUCUCUUCCAAUUGAUGAGGCCACCCUAAAUAAUCCGACGAACCUAAGCUGAUGUGGCAACCAAACUUACACAGUCAACAUGCAAAACUUGUGCUUCAUGCCAAGCUGGACAAAUCACAUUAAAGGUGUCAUUCAAGUCAGCCAAUGGAGACAACUCAGCAUUCCUCGUCAGCCGGAGGUAGUGUGUUCUGGAAAAAGCCACGGACACAUUAUCAGGGUCCCUCAUCUCGAGAAAGGCAGAGGGAGACAAGAGACAAGCUUCUUUCUUCUCCACCUGGUCUGAAAGGAAGCCAAAAGAGGGCUUUUUUCUUCUCCACCUGGUUUGAAAGGAAGCCAAAAGAGGGUUUUGAGGGUUUUAGUGGUGACGACCAAACAUCUCCGCCAGGGUAACGGAAGUGAAGGUCAUUGCAGCCGGAAAAAAUAGAGGAAGCUGAUAUUGGUGUAGAUGGCCGUAAACUGGGAGAUACGGCAUGAGUGGAAUGAAGCCCCCAAGUACAAUGAUGAUGCUGAGUUAUUUUCCAUAAGAAUGCAUUACAAAGUUGGUGAAAUGGAAGGAAUAGCAGGGUAUAUUGAUUAUUGUUGUUCUGACCAAAUAUCGAAGAUAGAACUCCUAGCAAUGGCAAGAGAGUUGAAUUUGGAGGUUGAUGGUUGUUCUAUAUGGUGGCUGGACACAACAAGCAUUGAUAGAGGGUACAAAGAAGUUAAAACUGACCUAGAUGCUCUAAAAAUGGCAAAUUCAGUAGGGUGCAGCAGAGAGAUGUGUGUUUGUGUGAGACUGCCUUGCAGUGGAACACCAUUGGCCCAUGACUUAGGCAGCAUUCCUGUGAGUAAUGAAGGUGUGGGGCUUGUUGAAUGUAGUAUGGUUGCUUGUAUAAAUUAUGUGGGUGAGGAGGAAGAAGAUGUUACACAUGAUGAUGAGAACUUGGAGGACAUUUUAAUUAGGGGACAUGGCAGAAGUAGUGAUAGAGAUGAAACAUGUAACUUUGAGGACUCAGAUUAUAAUUUCAGUGAUGAUGGUGUGGAGGAAGAGAUUUUUAAUGAUUGUGGUUCAAGACCAAAUGCUGAUAUUGGUGGUGAAGCUACAGAAGUAGAUGAUGGUGACCUUGUAGGAUCUGACUAUGCUAAUUCAGAUGGUUUUCAGUCCUACUCUUCAACAGAUGAAGAGGAUGCGACCCCUCUUAAACCUAAGUAUUCUGAGUUCAAUGAGGAGGUUGACAUGAGGAAUCCACAGUUUAGAAUUGGAAUGAAAUAGGAUAGUAUUCCCUCCCAAGAGGAGGAAGGUAUGGUUACCAACAGGAGUUGGAUCCUCUGCAGGCCUAGGUGCAUGUGCAGGUGAUACUUACAGGAAGGCACCUUGAUGGGAUCAACUAGCAUUUAUUUGUUUAUGUAUUUUGGAAAACUGCAGCACCUCGGAAAUUUUUGUAAAGUUGCAGCUAUGACUAAAUUUUUGUAAAGAUGCAACUCUUCUAAAAUUUUUGUAAAACUGCAGCUCUUCUAAAAUUUUUGUAAAGCUGCAUCUAUUCUCAA